RNAcentral lists this transfer RNA (59 nucleotides) under Diaphanoeca grandis. RNAcentral describes it as "partial tRNA". It matches the Rfam family "tRNA", at positions 2 to 60 of the family's 71-position model. From Rfam's summary of the family: Transfer RNA (tRNA) molecules are approximately 80 nucleotides in length. Their secondary structure includes four short double-helical elements and three loops (D, anti-codon, and T loops). The record is from RNAcentral. Lineage: Eukaryota; Choanoflagellata; Acanthoecida; Stephanoecidae.
CGGGUAUAGCUCAAUGGUAGAGCAGCAGCCUUCCAAGCUGAAUACGAGGGUUCGAUUCC